This is a long non-coding RNA of Oncorhynchus keta (chum salmon), 6506 nucleotides long. RefSeq lists it as uncharacterized. The record is from RefSeq and is a predicted model, not a curated record. The transcript is spliced from 4 exons. Lineage: Eukaryota; Metazoa; Chordata; Actinopteri; Salmoniformes; Salmonidae.
UAGUACUUCAGAGCUCCUACAGCCUCGUUCAGUACCUGACAACACAACGCUCUCAGGUUUAGUACGUCAGAGCUCCUACAGCCUCGUUCAGUACCUGCCAACACAACGCUCUCAGGUUUAGUACAUCAGAGCUCCUACAGCCUCGUUCAGUACCUGCCAACACAACGCUCUCAGGUUUAGUACGUCAGAGCUCCUACAGCCUCGUUCAGUACCUGCCAACACAACGCUCUCAGGUUUAGUACAUCAGAGCUCCUACAGCCUCGUUCAGUACCUGCCAACACAACGCUCUCAGGUUUAGUACAUCAGAGCUCCUACAGCCUCGUUCAGUACCUGCCAACACAACGCUCUCAGGUUUAGUACGUCAGAGCUCCUACAGCCUCGUUCAGUACCUGCCAACACAACGCUCUCAGGUUUAGUACGUCAGAGCUCCUACAGCCUCGUUCAGUACCUGCCAACACAACGCUCUCAGGUUUAGUACGUCAGAGCUCCUACAGCCUCGUUCAGUACCUGCCAACACAACGCUCUCAGGUUUAGUACGUCAGAGCUCCUACAGCCUCGUUCAGUACCUGUCAACACAACGCUCUCAGGUUUAGUACGUCAGAGCUCCUACAGCCUCGUUCAGUACCUGUCAACACAACGCUCUCAGGUUUAGUACGUCAGAGAUCCUACAGCCUCGUUCAGUACCUGCCAACACAACGCUCUCAGGUUUAGUACGUCAGAGCUCCUACAGCCUCGUUCAGUACCUGUCAACACAACGCUCUCAGGUUUAGUACGUCAGAGCUCCUACAGCCUCGUUCAGUACCUGUCAACACAACGCUCUCAGGUUUAGUACGUCAGAGCUCCUACAGUCUCGUUCAGUACCUGCCAACACAACGCUCUCAGGUUUAGUACGUCAGAGCUCCUACAGCCUCGUUCAGUACCUGCCAACACAACGCUCUCAGGUUUAGUACGUCAGAGCUCCUACAGCCUCGUUCAGUACCUGCCAACACAACGCUCUCAGGUUUAGUACGUCAGAGCUCCUAGAGCCUCGUUCAGUACCUGCCAACACAACGCUCUCAGGUUUAGUACGUCAGAGCUCCUACAGCCUCGUUCAGUACCUGUCAACACAACGCUCUCAGGUUUAGUACGUCAGAGCUCCUACAGCCUCGUUCAGUACCUGUCAACACAACGCUCUCAGGUUUAGUACGUCAGAACUCCUACAGUCUCGUUCAGUACCUGCCAACACAACACUCUCAGAUUUAGUACGUCAGAGCUCCUACAGCCUUGUUCAGUACCUGCCAACACAACACUCUCAGAUUUAGUACGUCAGAGCUCCUACAGCCUCGUUCAGUACCUGCCAACACAACGCUCUCAGGUUUAGUACGUCAGAGCUCCUACAGCCUCGUUCAGUACCUGCCAACACAACGCUCUCAGGUUUAGUACGUCAGAGCUCCUACAGCCUCGUUCAGUACCUGCCAACACAACGCUCUCAGGUUUAGUACGUCAGAGCUCCUACAGCCUCGUUCAGUACCUGCCAACACAACGCUCUCAGGUUUAGUACGUCAGAGCUCCUACAGCCUCGUUCAGUACCUGCCAACACAACGCUCUCAGGUUUAGUACGUCAGAGCUCCUACAGCCUCGUUCAGUACCUGCCAACACAACGCUCUCAGGUUUAGUACGUCAGAGCUCCUACAGCCUCGUUCAGUACCUGUCAACACAACGCUCUCAGGUUUAGUACGUCAGAGCUCCUACAGCCUCGUUCAGUACCUGUCAACACAACGCUCUCAGGUUUAGUACGUCAGAGCUCCUACAGUCUCGUUCAGUACCUGCCAACACAACGCUCUCAGAUUUAGUACGUCAGAGCUCCUACAGCCUCGUUCAGUACCUGCCAACACAACGCUCUCAGGUUUAGUACGUCAGAGCUCCUACAGCCUCGUUCAGUACCUGCCAACACAACGCUCUCAGGUUUAGUACGUCAGAGCUCCUACAGCCUCGUUCAGUACCUGUCAACACAACGCUCUCAGGUUUAGUACGUCAGAGAUCCUACAGCCUCGUUCAGUACCUGCCAACACAACGCUCUCAGGUUUAGUACGUCAGAGCUCCUACAGCCUCGUUCAGUACCUGUCAACACAACGCUCUCAGGUUUAGUACGUCAGAGCUCCUACAGCCUCGUUCAGUACCUGUCAACACAACGCUCUCAGGUUUAGUACGUCAGAGCUCCUACAGUCUCGUUCAGUACCUGCCAACACAACGCUCUCAGGUUUAGUACGUCAGAGCUCCUACAGCCUCGUUCAGUACCUGCCAACACAACGCUCUCAGGUUUAGUACGUCAGAGCUCCUACAGCCUCGUUCAGUACCUGCCAACACAACGCUCUCAGGUUUAGUACGUCAGAGCUCCUAGAGCCUCGUUCAGUACCUGCCAACACAACGCUCUCAGGUUUAGUACGUCAGAGCUCCUACAGCCUCGUUCAGUACCUGUCAACACAACGCUCUCAGGUUUAGUACGUCAGAGCUCCUACAGCCUCGUUCAGUACCUGUCAACACAACGCUCUCAGGUUUAGUACGUCAGAACUCCUACAGUCUCGUUCAGUACCUGCCAACACAACACUCUCAGAUUUAGUACGUCAGAGCUCCUACAGCCUUGUUCAGUACCUGCCAACACAACGCUCUCAGGUUUAGUACGUCAGAGCUCCUACAGCCUCGUUCAGUACCUGCCAACACAACGCUCUCAGGUUUAGUACGUCAGAGCUCCUACAGCCUCGUUCAGUACCUGCCAACACAACGCUCUCAGGUUUAGUACGUCAGAGCUCCUACAGCCUCGUUCAGUACCUGCCAACACAACGCUCUCAGGUUUAGUACGUCAGAGCUCCUACAGCCUCGUUCAGUACCUGCCAACACAACGCUCUCAGGUUUAGUACGUCAGAGCUCCUACAGCCUCGUUCAGUACCUGCCAACACAACGCUCUCAGGUUUAGUACGUCAGAGCUCCUACAGCCUCGUUCAGUACCUGCCAACACAACGCUCUCAGGUUUAGUACGUCAGAGCUCCUACAGCCUCGUUCAGUACCUGUCAACACAACGCUCUCAGGUUUAGUACGUCAGAGCUCCUACAGCCUCGUUCAGUACCUGUCAACACAACGCUCUCAGGUUUAGUACGUCAGAGCUCCUACAGUCUCGUUCAGUACCUGCCAACACAACGCUCUCAGAUUUAGUACGUCAGAGCUCCUACAGCCUCGUUCAGUACCUGCCAACACAACGCUCUCAGGUUUAGUACGUCAGAGCUCCUACAGCCUCGUUCAGUACCUGCCAACACAACGCUCUCAGGUUUAGUACGUCAGAGCUCCUACAGCCUCGUUCAGUACCUGCCAACACAACGCUCUCAGGUUUAGUACGUCAGAGCUCCUACAGCCUCGUUCAGUACCUGCCAACACAACGCUCUCAGGUUUAGUACGUCAGAGCUCCUACAGCCUCGUUCAGUACCUGUCAACACAACGCUCUCAGGUUUAGUACGUCAGAGCUCCUACAGCCUCGUUCAGUACCUGUCAACACAACGCUCUCAGGUUUAGUACGUCAGAGCUCCUACAGUCUCGUUCAGUACCUGCCAACACAACGCUCUCAGGUUUAGUACGUCAGAGCUCCUACAGCCUCGUUCAGUACCUGCCAACACAACGCUCUCAGGUUUAGUACGUCAGAGCUCCUACAGCCUCGUUCAGUACCUGCCAACACAACGCUCUCAGGUUUAGUACGUCAGAGCUCCUAGAGCCUCGUUCAGUACCUGCCAACACAACGCUCUCAGGUUUAGUACGUCAGAGCUCCUACAGCCUCGUUCAGUACCUGUCAACACAACGCUCUCAGGUUUAGUACGUCAGAGCUCCUACAGCCUCGUUCAGUACCUGUCAACACAACGCUCUCAGGUUUAGUACGUCAGAACUCCUACAGUCUCGUUCAGUACCUGCCAACACAACACUCUCAGAUUUAGUACGUCAGAGCUCCUACAGCCUUGUUCAGUACCUGCCAACACAACGCUCUCAGGUUUAGUACGUCAGAGCUCCUACAGCCUCGUUCAGUACCUGCCAACACAACGCUCUCAGGUUUAGUACGUCAGAGCUCCUACAGCCUCGUUCAGUACCUGCCAACACAACGCUCUCAGGUUUAGUACGUCAGAGCUCCUACAGCCUCGUUCAGUACCUGCCAACACAACGCUCUCAGGUUUAGUACGUCAGAGCUCCUACAGCCUCGUUCAGUACCUGCCAACACAACGCUCUCAGGUUUAGUACGUCAGAGCUCCUACAGCCUCGUUCAGUACCUGCCAACACAACGCUCUCAGGUUUAGUACGUCAGAGCUCCUACAGCCUCGUUCAGUACCUGUCAACACAACGCUCUCAGGUUUAGUACGUCAGAGCUCCUACAGCCUCGUUCAGUACCUGUCAACACAACGCUCUCAGGUUUAGUACGUCAGAGCUCCUACAGUCUCGUUCAGUACCUGCCAACACAACACUCUCAGAUUUAGUACGUCAGAGCUCCUACAGCCUCGUUCAGUACCUGCCAACACAACGCUCUCAGGUUUAGUACGUCAGAGCUCCUACAGCCUCGUUCAGUACCUGCCAACACAACGCUCUCAGGUUUAGUACGUCAGAGCUCCUACAGCCUCGUUCAGUACCUGCCAACACAACGCUCUCAGGUUUAGUACAUCAGAGCUCCUACAGCCUCGUUCAGUACCUGCCAACACAACGCUCUCAGGUUUAGUACGUCAGAGCUCCUACAGCCUCGUUCAGUACCUGCCAACACAACGCUCUCAGGUUUAGUACAUCAGAGCUCCUACAGCCUCGUUCAGUACCUGCCAACACAACGCUCUCAGGUUUAGUACGUCAGAGCUCCUACAGCCUCGUUCAGUACCUGCCAACACAACGCUCUCAGGUUUAGUACAUCAGAGCUCCUACAGCCUCGUUCAGUACCUGCCAACACAACGCUCUCAGGUUUAGUACAUCAGAGCUCCUACAGCCUCGUUCAGUACCUGCCAAUACAACGCUCUCAGGUUUAGUAUGUCAGAGCUCCUACAGCCUCGUUCAGUACCUGCCAACACAACGCUCUCAGGUUUAGUACAUCAGAGCUCCUACAGCCUCGUUCAGUACCUGCCAACACAACGCUCUCAGGUUUAGUACAUCAGAGCUCCUACAGCCUCGUUCAGUACCUGCCAACACAACGCUCUCAGGUUUAGUACGUCAGAGCUCCUACAGCCUCGUUCAGUACCUGCCAACACAACGCUCUCAGGUUUAGUACAUCAGAGCUCUUACAGCCUCGUUCAGUACCUGCAAACUCAACGCUCUCAAGUUUAGUACAUCAGAGGGCCGUUAUACAGCACCCUUCAAUAAAGAGAAAUAGAACUAAAGUCAUGUGUCAUCCGAAUGCAUAGAAAUUCAUUAACCACAGCUGUGUUGUUGUUCCAUAGGCCCUGACAGGCCCUACUAUUAUUUGACCAUGCUGGUCAUUUAUGAACAUCCUGUCCAUGUUCUGUUAUAAUAUCCACCCGGAACAGCCAGAAGAAGACUGGCCAUCCCUCAUAGCCUGGUUCCUGUCUAGGUUUCUUCCUAGGUUUUGGCCUUCCUAGGGAGUUUCCAGGCCACCGUGCUUGUACACCUGCAUUGCUUGCCGUUUGGGGUUUUAGGCUGGUUUUCUGUACAGCACUUUGAUAUAUCAGCUGAUGUAAGAAGGGCUAUAUAAAUAAAUUUGACUUGAUUUGACAUGGGCUCUCCAUUGGGCUCUUGUAGUGGUAGCCCAUCUAUUCUCACCACGUUUGAUGUUCCAUUUCAUGAUCAGCCCAACUGCAGCUAGCACCAUACGCUCUGCCACUUCUCCCUUUAUACGCUGUGUAAAGCCACCAUGUAGCUCAAUUAAACUGAAAGGGGAUAUUUUAAUUAGGCAAGGAGCUGGGUGGUUAUGGGCCUGUGAAAGGGAAUGAGGAGAGAAUGUGGGUGCCAUCUGUUUCUGCAGGGCCAGGGAGAGCUCAAAGAUUCAGCCUGCCAUACAUUCAGAACCAGAGCAGUACUACAGGAAGUAUAGAUGGCCAGUUUUCCUCUGAUGUUUAAUUUAGCAUUGUUGCACUGUGGGAAAAACACUGGAUAUAAUCAAGUCUUAUUAUAUUACUAUUAUUGUUCACCUUUAUUUAUCUAGGCAAGUCAAUUAAGAACAAAUUCUUAUUUACAAAUGGCGGCCUACCAAAAGGCAACAUAAAUUCAAAUAAAAAAGAUAAAGUCUAUUGUACUGUUCUGUUAAUUAGGAAGAUUACAUUUAUUUUAACUGAAAAAUGUAUACUUGUCAGGCUUAUUUCUGUCAUUGUAAAUGAGUUGUUCAUGUCAUUGUUUUUAGGACAUUGUUGAUUACGGUGUUUGAACAAACUUGUUCAGGGUCUUGCAUAUAAUAUGGUAAACAAAUACUGUUUUUAGGCCAGGGUGUCUUUUUUAAGUCCAAUUAACUUGAAACUGGUAGCAUGUAAAUGAGGCUGAGCAGACAGAUGACAUGUAGAGCAUGG